Molecule: long non-coding RNA, 4607 nt
Filed under: Nicotiana benthamiana
Lineage: Eukaryota; Viridiplantae; Streptophyta; Magnoliopsida; Solanales; Solanaceae
Description: long non-coding RNA (NBEN_LNC006791)
Source: RNAcentral
CAAGAAUCAAUCACAAGCACGCACACUGAAUCUAAAUCGAGAACAAAGUGAGAAAUGAACCUCAAAAGGAGUUAUCGGAUUUCUCACGCACACUGAACCUAAAUCGGGAACAAAGUGAGAAAUGAACCUCAAAAGGAGUAAUCGGAUUUCCUUCGUACUCGAAAGUUAUACAAGACCUUUGAACAAAGUCGAGCAAUUCACAUCACGAACUGGGACGGAAAAAAGCAACAGAAAGUUACUCUGUGAACCUCGAACCUCAGACGACACAUUGAGUCAAGCUAAAAUAGCUGUCAGACCCAAACGAACUCUGUUGUUUGAAGCAAAAAAACUGAACGAAGAAACUGAAACAUUUUUUAUCAUCCGUAUUUUUUGUUCGUUCUUGUGUAUGUGUGUGUGUUGUGGUCGUAUUCGGGUGGUGAAGAGGUGAGGCUGAUGGACUGUGGUAGCUGCAUUUUUGAAUUGAAGGUCGGAGAUGGUUGGCGGGUGGCGGCGCGAAUGGUGAGGUUAGCGGCGGAGGACAUGACUAGCUUUUGGGCGUGCGGUGCUGCUUAAGGGCUGAAGAAGAAAAAGUUUCAGGGGGGUGGUUCAGCUGCUGGUGUUGUUCGUUCAAGUAGAAGACUAUUAGGGUGGUCGUGAGUGGCGGCUCCAGGUUGUUGAUGUUCUAGGGUUCUUCAAUGUUUUCCUCCAUUGUUAUCUUUUUCUAAGCUGAAGAAGAAGACUAGGUUCUCCGUCUAGGGUUUUUUUAAUGUCUAAGGUUCUAGGUUUUGGGCUUUAAUAAUUUAGCUCUAGUCUCUUACAAACAUUGGGCUAAAAACAAAAGCUGAAAUUUUAAUUUAAAUGCCUACAAAAUAUAAAAAUUCUUAAUUGAAAUUGAUAAACUAUUAAUAUUAAAAAUAAAAUCUAAAAAUGAAAGUUGAAACUAUAACAAAAGACUCGAAAAUCUUAACUAGAUUGAUAGACUCGAUACUAUUGCAGAGGACUAAAGAUUCAUCAGACAAAACAAGAAGUACUAUAACAAAAGACUCGAAAAUCUUAACUAGAUUGAUAGACUCGAUACUAUUGUAGAGGACUAAAAAUUAAAAGAUAACAUAAGAUAAACUAAAAAAAAUAGAAAGUUUCCUCAAGCAGUCAGUGUCUGCAAUGGUCUUGACUAGAUUGAUCCUAGGUAUUAGUCAUGCUCAAACUCUAGCAAAUUAAUCCAUACCUGAAUGGGAAAAAUUAAGAUCAAAUAGAGUUAGUGACUUAAGACACAUGAAACGCCACAACGCCUUCUAUUGGACACGUGCAAGGCAUGAUUAAGACUAUUUUUGCAAAAUGAUCUACGUGGCCAAGGGUGGCUAUUUGACGCCAUAACAUCUUCUAUUGGACACAUGCAAGACGUGCUUGGGCUAAUUUUGCAAAAUGACUUUAGUGACUGAAAGGGGCUAUUAGUGCAACUUGAUAAAAUUGACCCCAUAAUGCAUGAAAAAUAAUCUAUUUAAAGAUUGCAUGACUCAUUGACUCUAACAUCUCAACAAUAAAUGGCCUUAAAAAAAAUUACUUUGCGAAAAUGGCCUAGUUUGCAAAAUGGCCUAUAUGACCAAAUGUGGCUAAAACUGCAAACUCAAAAAGGAAGGACCUUAAAGUAAUAUGACACCUAGUUGUGCACCCUAAGACAUGGGUAAUUGAACCACUUUUGCAAAAAUGGCCCCAUUUAAUAAUAAUGGUCGAUGUGGCCUAAAGUGGCUAGACGUGCAAGAUUUGGCUAAGACCCUGCAAAGCCAAGAACCUAAGAUUAGGAAGACCGGACCCUAUGUGGGUUGCCUACGUAUCUCGCCCCAGAAGACGAGAAUAAGGUUCGCGUAGUUCGGAAAGAUGCAACUAAUUUAAAAAAAAUAUAUAUAUUUUUGUCUUUUUUGAAAAAUGAUGAAAAAUGUAGACUCUUUUUGGAUUUUCUUUUAAAUUUUGGAAAAUAAUAGAAAAUGUAAAAAAAAAAUUGGAUUUUAUUAUUUAUUUAUUAAAAAAAUUUAAUGAAAAAUAAUGGAGAAGUGCAAAAUCUUGGAUAUUUUAUUUCCAUUUUUUGUGAAUUUAUGGGAAGAAGAUGGCAAAGUGUAAUUUUUUUUGUAUUUUGUAUUUUCAUUUUUUUGAAUUUUUGGAAAAUGAUGGUAAAGUGUAACAUAUUUUUUUUAUUUUCUAUUUUCAAUUUUAUUUUUAUUCCUGAAAGACUAUGAAAGAAAAAUGCGAUUGUGCCUUGCUUGCUUUUCUUUUCACCCUUUUUUCCAAAUAUUUUGAAAAACUAUGAAAGAAAAAUGCGAGUGAAGCCUUCUUGCUUUAUUUCUCCCUUCUUUCCAAAUAUCGGUCCGCCAAAUGACUUUUUACCUUCAAAGAUGCAACAUUUACCACAUAUGAUGAUUAAAUAUAAUUUUGGGCCGCGGGACCAUUUUGACAAAAUUUGGACAUACUCCCUACAAAAGGACACGGUGCCUGGGAUCGAGCCUUACUAAGUGUGAAUAACAUAAUGCAAAAAAAAAUGAUCUAAAUGCUGACCUACAUUUGGGGUUCACUAACAAGGAAAUUCGGGGGAGCGUACGUACGGCGGUGUCCCCUCCUAAAUUAAGGGUGACUCGACAAAGAGUUCGCGCACGUGACGCGUGCUCCGAGACUUGUCGUAGAAAGAAGACACAUGGUUAUGCAAAUGAUGAAUAUUUAUAAAGCAGUAACACGAAAAGAAAAAAUUGUAAACAAAUAAGCAACUAGCAAAUAAUAAAAUGACAUAAGCAAAAUAAAAAUCAAAUAAAGCAAACAAAAUACAGAAAAACCUCAACUGAAUAUCCUAAAAACCAAUAAAAUGAACUACUAACUCGAACCCGCAACUCCCCAGCAGAGUCGCCAGAGAUAUCACACCCAUUUUUUAACCAAACUCUACUAAACCCUCGUAAAUUAAUAAAAAGAAUUAGUAAAGCUUGAAAAGGGUUUUCAAUUUUGAAAGUGACAAAAAUUGUGUUUCAAAAGGAAAUAAACUGAGAGUCGCAACCUGACAUUUGAUUUCGGCAUUUUUUUAAAAAAAUAAUUUUUUCCUUUUAAAAUAUUGCAAACUCUAAAACCAAGUCCACACCAGAGAUUCAGGUAAGGGGGCUCGUUUGACUCGGGGAGAAGGUGUUAGGCAUUCCCCAAGUCCUGUAACUAGUACGGUUGCUUACUUGAUCUAAUUGGCUUUUAAAAUAUUAUAAUUGAGAAACAAACACAGAAAAGCAAAAUAAACACACAAGAGGUUCGAGGUCGCUCCCACCUAAUAAAAGGAAAAUAGAACUAAAACUAAAUGAAUUUCACUUUAGGCCUCCAAAUACAAGUAUGUCGGCGCAUUCUCCGGAUAAAUUUAACUAAAGAAACGACCUCUCGCCUCGAAACUAACAAAAUCCUAAGACUUGCCUAUCCAAGUGUACUCGGCCUAGAUAUGCUACUAGUGGAUACAAUAAAGUGAAAUAGAAGGAGAAUAAAACUAAAACAAAACAGGGGCCUCAAUCUAUUUUAGCUUCAUUUAAGCCCAAACCCCACAGACCAAUUCUUUUCAUUAUCUUCUUUCAUUACUAUGUGAGAUUCACAUUAGAUAUCAACGCAUAUUUAGAUAUUAGAUACUAAUUUAAUUAGAUAUUAAAUUCAAACAAUCCAUUAUUGAGGAAGAUAGUAAAUAGGAUGGUGAUAGACUUGGAUGAAUCUCAACUAUCAAACCAAACAAAGCUGAGUCACAAACAGAAGCAACAAAUAGCAUUCAUGUCAUCAAGAAUCAAUCACAAGCACGCACACUGAAUCUAAAUCGAGAACAAAGUGAGAAAUGAACCUCAAAAGGAGUUAUCGGAUUUCCUUCGAUACUCGAAAGUUAUACAAGACCUUUGAACAAAGUCGAGCAAUUCACAUCACGAACUGGGACGGAAAAAAGCAACAGAAAGUUACUCUGUGAACCACGAACCUCGGACGACACUUCGAGUCAAGCCGAAAUAGCUGUCACACCCAAACGAACUCUGUUGUUUGAAGCAAAAAAUUGAACGAAGAAACUGAAAUGUUUUCUAUCUUCCUCAUUUUGUGUUCGUGCUUACGUUUGUGCGUGUGUGUUGUGGUCGGAUUCGGGUGGUGAGGAGGUGAGGCUGAUGGACUGUGGUAGCUGCAUUUUUGAAUUGAAGGCAGAAGAUGGUUGGCCGGUGGCGGCGAGAAUGAUGAGGUUAGCGGCGGGGGAGAUGACUAGCUUUUGGGCGUGGGGUGCUGCUUAAGGGCUGAAGAAGAAAAAGUUUUAGGGGAGUGGUUCAGCUGCUGGUGUUGUUCGUUCAAGGAGAAGGCUAUUAGGGUGGUGGUGAGUGGCCGCUCCAGGUUGUUGAUGUUCUAGGGUUCUUCAAUGUUUUCCUCCAUUGUUAUCUUUUUCUAAGCUGAAAAAGAAGACUAGGUUCUCCGUCUAGGUUUUUUUUAAUGUCUAAGGUUCUAGUUUUUGGGCUUUAAAAAUUGGGCUCUAGUCUCUUACAAAUAUUGGGCAAAAAAUGAAAGCUAAAAAUUUAAUUUAAAUGUCUACAAAAUAUAAAAACUCUUAAUUGAAAUUGAUAAACUAUUAAUAUUAAAAGUAAAAGCUAAAAAUGAAAGUU